This is a small nucleolar RNA of Liolophura sinensis, 76 nucleotides long. Lineage: Eukaryota; Metazoa; Mollusca; Polyplacophora; Chitonida; Chitonidae. The record is from RefSeq and is a predicted model, not a curated record.
UUGCAAUGAUGUGUGAAUUUCUUCACCUGAAUCUCUUUGUGAUGAUCACAAAACGAGCUUUUUAAAACUGAGCAAA